RNAcentral lists this ribosomal RNA (819 nucleotides) under Enterobacter hormaechei. Its description in RNAcentral is "partial 16S ribosomal RNA". It matches the Rfam family "Bacterial small subunit ribosomal RNA", at positions 12 to 782 of the family's 1533-position model. Lineage: Bacteria; Pseudomonadati; Pseudomonadota; Gammaproteobacteria; Enterobacterales; Enterobacteriaceae. The record is from RNAcentral.
UUUGAUCCUAGCUCAGGAUGAACGCUCGCUGUGUGCCUAAUACAUGCAUGUUGAACGGGAUGUAGCAAUACAUUCAGUAGCGAAUGGGUGAGUAACACGUACCUAACCUACCUUUAAGACUGGGAUAACUAUUGGAAACAAUAGCUAAUACCGGAUAUAGUUAUUUAUCGCAUGAUGAGUAAUAGAAAGGAGCUUCACAGCUUCACUUAAAAAUGGGGGUGCGGAACAUUAGUUAGUUGGUAGGGUAAUGGCCUACCAAGACGAUGAUGUUUAGCCGGGCCGAGAGGCUGUACGGCCACACUGGGACUGAGAUACGGCCCAGACNNNNNNNNNNNNNNNNNNNNNNNNNNNNNNNNCGGCCCAGACUCCUACGGGAGGCAGCAGUAAGGAAUUUUCCACAAUGAGCGAAAGCUUGAUGGAGCGACACAGCGUGCAGGAUGAAGUUCUUCGGAAUGUAAACUGCUGUUAUAAGGGAAGAAAAAAUAGAAUAGGAAAUGAUUUUAUCUUGACGGUACCUUAUUAGAAAGCGACGGCAAACUAUGUGCCAGCAGCCGCGGUAAUACAUAGGUCGCAAGCGUUAUCCGGAAUUAUUGGGCGUAAAGCGUCCGUAGGUUUUUUGCUAAGUCUGGAGUUAAAUGCUGAAGCUCAACUUCAGUCCGCUUUGGAUACUGGCAAAAUAGAAUUAUAAAGAGGUUAGCGGAAUUCCUAGUGAAGCGGUGGAAUGCGUAGAUAUUAGGAAGAACACCAAUAGGCGAAGGCAGCUAACUGGUUAUAUAUUGACACUAAGGGACGAAAGCGUGGGGAGCAAACAGGAUUAGA